Molecule: ribosomal RNA, 518 nt
Filed under: uncultured bacterium
Lineage: Bacteria
Description: bacterial SSU rRNA
Rfam family: Bacterial small subunit ribosomal RNA
Source: RNAcentral
AGAGUUGAUAUGGCUCAGGAUGAACGCUAGCUACAGGCUUAACACAUGCAAGUCGAGGGGCAGCAUGGUCUUAGCUUGCUAAGAUGAUGGCGACCGGCGCACGGGUGAGUAACGCGUAUCCAACCUUCCCUAUAGUAGGGGAUAGCCCGUAGAAAUGCGGAUUAAUACCCUAUGUUGUAUUUAGAUGACAUCUGACGAAUACCAAAGGUUCACCGCUAUAGGAUGGGGAUGCGUCUGAUUAGGUAGUCGGCGGGGUAACGGCCCACCGAGCCAACGAUCAGUAGGGGUUCUGAGAGGAAGGUCCCCCACAUUGGAACUGAGACACGGUCCAAACUCCUACGGGAGGCAGCAGUGAGGAAUAUUGGUCAAUGGGCGAGAGCCUGAACCAGCCAAGUAGCGUGCAGGAUGACGGCCCUAUGGGUUGUAAACUGCUUUUAUGCGGGGAUAAAGUGAGGGACGUGUCCCUUAUUGUAGGUACCGCAUGAAUAAGGACCGGCUAAUUCCGUGCCAGCAGCAGC